Molecule: ribosomal RNA, 197 nt
Filed under: uncultured bacterium
Lineage: Bacteria
Description: partial 16S ribosomal RNA
Rfam family: Bacterial small subunit ribosomal RNA
Source: RNAcentral
ACGCUCGACACCUACGGGGGCAGCAGUGAGGGAUAUUGGUCAAUGGGGGGAACCCUGAACCAGCAACGCCGCGUGAGGGAUGACGGUCUUCGGAUUGUAAACCUCUGUCCUCUGUGAAGAUAAUGACGGUAGCAGAGGAGGAAGCUCCGGCUAACUACGUGCCAGCAGCCGCGGUAAUCUGAGCGGGCUGGCAAGGC